UACGUAGGGUGCAAGCGUUGUCCGGAAUUACUGGGCGUAAAGCGUGCGUAGGUGGUUUGUUAAGUCUGAUGUGAAAGCCCUGGGCUCAACCUAGGAAUUGCAUUCGAUACUGGCGGGCUAGAGUACGGUAGAGGGCGGCGGAAUUCCGGGUGUAGCGGUGAAAUGCGUAGAUAUCCGGAGGAACACCGAUGGCGAAGGCAACCGCCUGGGCCUGUACUGACGCUGAGACACGAAAGCGUGGGGAGCAAACAGG
Molecule: ribosomal RNA, 253 nt
Filed under: uncultured bacterium
Lineage: Bacteria
Description: partial 16S ribosomal RNA
Rfam family: Bacterial small subunit ribosomal RNA
Source: RNAcentral